Molecule: ribosomal RNA, 252 nt
Filed under: uncultured bacterium
Lineage: Bacteria
Description: partial 16S ribosomal RNA
Rfam family: Bacterial small subunit ribosomal RNA
Source: RNAcentral
UACGAAGGGUGCAAGCGUUACUCGGAAUUACUGGGCGUAAAGCGUGCGUAGGUGGUUUGUUAAGUCUGUUGUGAAAGCCCCGGGCUCAACCUGGGAACUGCAAUGGAAACUGGCGGGCUUGAGUGUGGCAGAGGGGGGUGGAAUUCCGCGUGUAGCAGUGAAAUGCGUAGAGAUGCGGAGGAACACCGAUGGCGAAGGCAGCCCCUGGGCCAACACUGACGCUCAGGCACGAAAGCGUGGGGAGCAAACAGG